This 253-nucleotide ribosomal RNA is filed under the name uncultured bacterium. Its description in RNAcentral is "partial 16S ribosomal RNA". It matches the Rfam family "Bacterial small subunit ribosomal RNA", at positions 524 to 776 of the family's 1533-position model. The record is from RNAcentral.
UACGUAGGGGGCUAGCGUUGUCCGGAAUCAUUGGGCGUAAAGCGCGUGUAGGCGGCCCGGUAAGUCCGCUGUGAAAGUCGGGGGCUCAACCCUCGGAUGCCGGUGGAUACUGUCGGGCUCGAGUCCGGAAGAGGAGUGUGGAAUUCCUGGUGUAGCGGUGAAAUGCGCAGAUAUCAGGAGGAACACCAAUGGCGAAGGCAGCACUCUGGGACGUGACUGACGCUGAGACGCGAAAGCGUGGGGAGCAAACAGG